UUUAUUCAUGAGAGACGCACAGAGAGAAAGACAGAGACACAGGCAGAGGGAGAAGCAGGCCCCAUGCAGGGAGCCUGACACACAGGACUCGAUCCCGGGUCUCCAGGAUCACACCCUGGGCCAAAGGCAGCGCUAAACCACUGAGCCACCCGGGCUGCCCUCUCUUGCCCCUUCUAAUCUAAUCUCUCUAGUAUAGAUCAAAUCAGAUCCCAUAGUGUCAACACAGUGAAGGAAGUUCAUACAUAAUAUGACCUCUGCCUACCUGUUCAACCUAUCUCCUACUCAUCCCCUUGUUCAUGAACUUCUCACAAUACAGUUUUCUUUCUUUCUGCUCUUCAAACAUAAUCCUUUUUUUAUCAGCUAUUCUCUCUCUCUGGAAUGCUUUCUUCAGAUCUUUGUAUGGCAGGCUCCUUGUCAUUCAGUUAUCUCUCCACCUAAGAGAGAGAGCAGGAGGUGGGGGACAGAGGGAGAGGGAGAGAAAGUCCCAAGCAGGCUCCCUGCCCAGCACGGAGCCUGACCUGGAGCUCGAUCUCAUGACCCUGAGAUCAUGACUUGAUCUGAAGUUAAGAAUUGGACACUUAACUGAGCCUCCAAGGCACCCCAUUCAGUAUCAAUUUAAAUGUCACUUCCUCAGAAGAUUCUUCACUGACUGCCCAUUCUUAAGAGACUUCCCCCUCGGUCAUUCCCUGUCACAUCAUCCUUUUUUAUUUUAGAUUUUUUCAUAUGUUUAUCACUUUUUUUUUUUUUUACACUAUUCCAUCUUAUUUAACUCUUCCCUUCUGGAUUCAAUUUCCUUCUUCCUGAAGGAUGUCUUUUUAGUAGCCUUUUCAAUAAGCUGUGUGGUAAAUUUAUUGUUGACUAAAAUCACCUUUAUUCUAUAAUUGGUAGGCAGUAUCUAUUGCCUCAAAAUUUAGCUCAAAAAUUUUUUUCUGAUCAAUUAGAAAACCUUAGCAAUGCCUAAGAAAAUAACUGUAACUCACUCAAAAUAACUAAUACUCCCAGCCAAAGUUAAGGAUCUCAUUUGCCCACAUAAUGGCCUUUUUUGGCUAACCUUUCUAGCAUCAUCAGCCCUGAACAUCAUGUUCCUAAUUAGCAAAUACCCCCAGCAUAUGUUUCUGCGUAUCAUGUAAGUCUGAUUUCUCUAGGACUCCCAGAAACAUCUCAAGAAUUCAACUAUGCCUCUGACUGCUGGGAUUUUGUCCAAACCUCUGCCAACUUCUGUUUUGGACAGACAGAUAAGAUUUGGCAUACCUUUGAUCCCUUAGGACUACCCUUCAUCUGUAUAAGCCCUCCCUUUAUCAUUCCAAGAUCUUUUUGAUCUUCUUAGAGUCCUUAGAACUAAGCUGUAUUCCUCAAUAACCCAGCAGUCAAUCCUAGGAGUCUUCUAAUCCACUUCAGGAUUCAAGGAUAUGGACCAAAAGUUGGAGAACUGUGGCCUACAAGUCACCUGUUCUCUAAAUGAAGUUUUAUUGGAAAACAGCCACACUCAUUCGUGUGUAUGUUGUCUAUGGCUACUUUUUGCACUUCUGAUAGCAAGGUUAGGUGCAGCAGACACCAUAUGGCCUAUACAGCCUAAAAUAUUUAUUAUGGACUCUUCCCAGAAAAAGUUGGCCAAGUCUCUGAACUAAGCUCAAAUAUCUGAUUGGCCUGUGGUUAUCAGGCAUGUUGGUGGCUGGUAUCCAUUCUAUCCAAACACUACACAGGUUUGCAAUUUGCUGAAGUACCCAGAGCCGGGGUCUCUUUAUGUACAUGUAUGUAUGUGCAUAUAGUAUGAAGAAAAGUAAGCACUUUUUAGACUGUGGUAGAAUGGAAUGUCUUUCUCUCUAUAAAGUUUAGUUAGAAACUUGACAUAUUUUUAAUGCUUAUGCUCCAGUUAUAUCUUAAUUUGCUUGAUCUCUACUAAGAGAAUCCUAUCAAAGUCAUCUUUUCAUGCUUAGGACCAGACUGGCCUCUGAAAAUCAAAUUCCUAUUUCUCAUAAAGAUUUAAAAAAAAAAUUGAAGACAGAAGCUGAAAGUAGCUGCUUGAUCUCCUGAUCACAUAUUCCUUCCUCUAAAGAAGCUUCUGGACUAUAAGCAUUUAUAAAGAUCACAUCUGCAUUUGCUGACACACUGUUCCUAAAGUUAGAUUGAAUUCAUAAAGCCCUUACUAUUGAAAUUUUAAAUAAUCAUGUUUUACAAAGAGCUGAUAAAUCUCUUUGUCCUAAUCACAGAAUGAUGCAGAAUGGUUGUGUUUGUGCGCACCAUGAUGGGGUGGUCUUCAGACAGCUUUACAUCCCUUUCCCUUAUAGAAGAUGAUAAAACUCCAGAGAAGUAAGCCACUUGCUGAGAGUCUCAUAAUGAAUAUAUUCCAAAGUGAAUAUUCCAGCUGAGACUUCCCCCACCUUUGGGGUCAGUUUUGUUUCCUUGUUCGCCUAAUGUAUCUGAAGUUAAACUCCAGGAUCUUACUAUAUAAUUCUUAAAACACUUUCACCCACAUUAUCUCAGUUGUCCCAAUAUCUAUGACAGUGCAUCCUUCCUAUUUUAUAGGGCACAGAGAAACGAAGGCUCAUCAACAUUCCCAGCGCUGCUAUGCCAGGAGGUUGCAGAGCCAGACUUUGACUUCAGAGGUGUUUGGCCCCUAAGUGGUUUUUUUUUUUUUUUCUUCACUCUUGCUGGUGAUUGCUGAGCCUGCCAUGUCUUUUAUAAAGUCGGCCUGAAUGCAAGAAGGUGGUACGUCUGUGACCAGUAAGGGAUAGGUACUGAUUCAUUGAGCUGUCAAGCAGCUUUAAGGUACUCAACAUUGGCAUAGUUGAACAUAGUUGUUCAUUCUCUUCAGAGCACUUUAUAUGAAUUUCCUAAUUAAUACAUACUCCUAUAAAUGUCACUAUACUCAUUUUAUAGAUGGAUGGGAGGCAGGGGCAGAGUAGCCGUGGUGGCAGUGCUGCGAUGAAAUUCGGGUUUCUAAUUUCCAGGCCUGUAUUCAGACCUCUAGGCCACAGUUUCAGCCAGUAAUUAUUUAGCAUAACUGCAGUACAGUAUUGAUUAGAGUUAUCAGGUAAUAUUUAAAGGUUUAAUUCCAGCACAAGCAGUUGGUUCUUAUAUGGUGCUUCUAUAAUGGUGAUUUGUUAGCAGCAGGGAGAAAGGCUUGCCAAAAAACACAACACGAGGACAGCAGUGCACGCCGAUCAGCUCCCCACCCCCACUCCUUUCUGUGCUGCUGGCACAUGGAUGGAGCUCCAGUCUGCAUCAGGGAGAUGUCCUGCUCCACAUUGGAACCUGUCCUGACCCCAUUCUCCAUAGUGGUACAGGACAAAGUUUUACUGGGAGGAGUGUGGAUCCAGAUCCUUAAGUGACAUCCUCGGGUGCUUUGCUGUUUAGAUCCCACCUGAUUCGAUUCAUUCAAUAGCUAUUUACUGAGUGUUUGCUGUAAUUCUCAGUCUCUUUGUAUGAGUCUACUCAGGUUACCAUA
This 3448-nucleotide long non-coding RNA is filed under the name Canis lupus familiaris (dog). RNAcentral's name for it is "lncRNA (ENSCAFG00000050234.1)". Lineage: Eukaryota; Metazoa; Chordata; Mammalia; Carnivora; Canidae. The record is from RNAcentral.